AUUGAACGCUGGCGGCAAGCUUAACACAUGCAAGUCGAGCGGUAACAGGAGAAGCUUGCUUCUUGCUGACGAGCGGCGGACGGGUGAGUAAUACUUAGGAAUCUGCCCAGUAGUGGGGGAUAGCUCGGGGAAACUCGAAUUAAUACCGCAUACACCCUACGGGGAAAAGGGGGCGCUUGCGCUCUCGCUAUUGGAUGAGCCUAAGUCGGAUUAGCUAGUUGGUGGGGUAAAGGCCUACCAAGGCGACGAUCUGUAGCUGGUCUGAGAGGAUGAUCAGCCACACCGGGACUGAGACACGGCCCGGACUCCUACGGGAGGCAGCAGUGGGGAAUAUUGGACAAUGGGGGCAACCCUGAUCCAGCCAUGCCGCGUGUGUGAAGAAGGCCUUUUGGUUGUAAAGCACUUUAAGCAGUGAAGAAGACUCUAUGGUUAAUACCCAUAGACGAUGACAUUAGCUGCAGAAUAAGCACCGGCUAACUCUGUGCCAGCAGCCGCGGUAAUACAGAGGGUGCAAGCGUUAAUCGGAAUUACUGGGCGUAAAGCGAGCGUAGGUGGCUUGAUAAGUCAGAUGUGAAAUCCCCGGGCUUAACCUGGGAACUGCAUCUGAUACUGUUAGGCUAGAGUAGGUGAGAGGGAGGUAGAAUUUCAGGUGUAGCGGUGAAAUGCGUAGAGAUCUGAAGGAAUACCGAUGGCGAAGGCAGCCUCCUGGCAUCAUACUGACACUGAGGUUCGAAAGCGUGGGUAGCAAACAGGAUUAGAUACCCUGGUAGUCCACGCCGUAAACGAUGUCUACUAGUCGUUGGGGAACUUGAUUCCUUAGUGACGCAGCUAACGCAGUAAGUAGACCGCCUGGGGAGUACGGCCGCAAGGUUAAAACUCAAAUGAAUUGACGGGGGCCCGCACAAGCGGUGGAGCAUGUGGUUUAAUUCGAUGCAACGCGAAGAACCUUACCUGGUCUUGACAUAUCUAGAAUCCUGCAGAGAUGCGGGAGUGCCUUCGGGAAUUAGAAUACAGGUGCUGCAUGGCUGUCGUCAGCUCGUGUCGUGAGAUGUUGGGUUAAGUCCCGCAACGAGCGCAACCCUUUUCCUUAGUUACCAGCGGUUUGGCCGGGGACUCUAAGGAUACUGCCAGUGACAAACUGGAGGAAGGCGGGGACGACGUCAAGUCAUCAUGGCCCUUACGACCAGGGCUACACACGUGCUACAAUGGUAGGUACAGAGGGCGGCUACACAGCGAUGUGAUGCGAAUCUCAAAAAGCCUAUCGUAGUCCAGAUUGGAGUCUGCAACUCGACUCCAUGAAGUCGGAAUCGCUAGUAAUCGCGGAUCAGAAUGCCGCGGUGAAUACGUUCCCGGGCCU
This 1357-nucleotide ribosomal RNA is filed under the name uncultured bacterium. RNAcentral describes it as "bacterial SSU rRNA". It matches the Rfam family "Bacterial small subunit ribosomal RNA", at positions 28 to 1381 of the family's 1533-position model. The record is from RNAcentral.